RNAcentral lists this non-coding RNA (273 nucleotides) under Mahella australiensis. RNAcentral's name for it is "T-box sequence". It matches the Rfam family "T-box leader". From Rfam's summary of the family: Uncharged tRNA acts as the effector for transcription antitermination of genes in the T-box leader family. T-boxes are found upstream of many aminoacyl-tRNA synthetase genes and some amino acid biosynthetic genes usually in Gram-positive bacteria. The record is from RNAcentral. Lineage: Bacteria; Bacillati; Bacillota; Clostridia; Mahellales; Mahellaceae.
AUAAAAGCUGAGAUGAGGAAAAGUAGGUAUUGCCUUACUUUUACAGAGAAUCGGGAUAAGGUGAGAGCCCGAAAAAGGCGGUUAUAUCGAAGUUCUCCUCGGAGCUGCAGGCUGAACGUGUUCGCAUGCGGAUACCAGUAGGCUGUGCCGGUAACUUCCGCCGUUAAAGGUAAGAGGGCAUGUCAGUGCCUGCGAUAAAGAGGGAUUUAUAUAUUCAUAUAUGAAUCCAAGAUGGGUGGUACCGCGGAAAGUAAAACGCUCUUCGUCCCUAUA